GACGUAGGGCGCGAGCGUUGUCCGGAUUUAUUGGGCGUAAAGAGCUCGUAGGCGGCUUGUCACGUCAAUCGUGAAAUUCUGCGGCUUAACUGUGGGAGUGCGGUUGAUACGGGCAGGCUAGAGUUCGGUAGGGGAGACUGGAAUUCCGUGGUGUAGGCGGUGAAAUGCGCAGAUAUCAGGAGGAACACCGGUGGCGAAGGCGGGUCUCUGGGCCGAUACUGACGCUGAGGAGCGAAAGCGUGGGGAGCGAACAGG
This 255-nucleotide ribosomal RNA is filed under the name uncultured bacterium. RNAcentral describes it as "partial 16S ribosomal RNA". It matches the Rfam family "Bacterial small subunit ribosomal RNA", at positions 524 to 776 of the family's 1533-position model. The record is from RNAcentral.